AGCUAGGGAUCCAUGGGGUUCUGUCUUCGACCGUGUAGUUCAGGCAGGAGUCGGAGGAGAGAAGUGGAGCUCCAGUCCUUCUAUUCCUCCAUCUUAAUCCAAGAUCGCAGGAAGUUGUUGCUGAACAAGGAUGAGACCCAGAUGUCCCAGCUCCAAUCCUGGCAAAGGAGGACCCAGGGCAGCGUCUGUUGUCCUUAGGUAACUGUAAAGCACACCAGGGUACUUCCUUCGUGCUUCGCUGUUUCACUUGCACACAGGGUGUCGCGUGGAGAGGCCUCACACACAGCAUGAAAUGGCCGGCCCACCACCUCAGCUCCACAGAAGCGCUGCGCACGCACCUCCACGUUGUUUUCUGAUUUAUGCAGCCAGACUUCUUUUGAGGGGAUAGAACCAGCUUCUGGGAUUUCGAGGGGCUCCUCAUGGUGGGUAGUAAAGAGGAGAAUGAUAGAAGCUGGGACAAGCCAGAAGGCGCUUCAGAAGACAGGCUAGUUGGGGAGGGGAGAGGAAGCAAAGGUAACUAGUCUAAGGCCCGGGUGGCUGCGGUGGGAGGGGGCUGCAAGGAGAGGAUGCACAUUAUUUUGGGGGCAGCCUUGGUAUGAGUUGUGUGAUGUAGCUUCCCUUUGGAGAUGUCCCAACGAGGCCUUCUCUGAUGGGCCUACAUUUCUUUCCAAAGCUGUAAGGAAUUGGAUCUGGGUUUCCUUUUGAUGUAGCCUUGUGCUGAGAUGAGCCUAGAGAAUCCCAGUGUUAUUUAGCUUCCAGAAAACAGUCUGAAGGGAACCCUAGGACUGGAGAUGACUGGGUUACAGAGCGUCGCCUGGGUGGUUCUGCAGCCUCAGAGUCACAGAACUUCCAAUCCGGAAGGGUCUUGGGCAGCCAUCCACCUACACCCCCCAGUUGUGGAUGGAGGCAGUGUCUGCCUGGAUUGGGACUCCCUCUCAUUGCCCAUUUUCUCCUGAGGACCAGGUGGAUGAAUGGCAGGACUUCCCACCUCAGCUUCUACUAGGAACCUGUCUCAUCUCAGCCUAACAAUGAGCCAGCAAUCAACAGUCAAUCUUAUCUAUAACUGCCAUUCCCAAAUGGGAAUUCAGCUUUGUGAAGUUGACAAAUAAUGACUUUUGGAGGUCCCUUUGUGGCUUAGCAGGUUACGAAUCUGACUAGUAUCCGUGAAGAAGCCAUGCAGACAUGGCUCAGAUCUGGUGUUGCUGUGACUGUGGUAUAGGCUGGCAGUUGCAGCUCCAAUUUGACCCCUAGCCUGGGAACUUCUAUAAUGCCACAGGUGCGGCCCUAAAAAAGCCAAAACAAACAAACAAACAAACAAAAAAACCUUUGAUCAUUUUUAGGAUCUUCAUUGAAUGACUGCAAUGGAAGGGAAAUGCCUUGGCCAACGCAGAGGAGGGAACUGACUCCUCCAGGAGCAUACAACCAAUAGGGCCUGGGCUGGCAUUAGAACCUACGCUCACAGCUCAUGAUCCAGAGCACUUCCCACUACCCCGACAUGAGGUGGUGUGGAGCAAGGGAAAUGACAGUAGAAGCCAGAUAGACUGCCUUUUUAUACUGGCUUCUCUCUGAAUUAUUGUUGACCUUUUUUCCCACCCAUCUGGAGGCUUUCUUCUCCUUGGUGGCAGCAGAGGGAUGAAAGGCACUUGUAGCAGCAAAUUCACCCCAACCAGAAAAACAAACCACCAUCUCUCAGUCCCUGGCUUCCCUUCCUGGACUGAUGGUCCCAGGUAGAACAGAUGAGGCAACAUGACGUCAUAGAAAUAUUUUGUUUAUCUCAGUGGUUCCCAGUGGAAGGGGGGCAAUUUUACAUUCACACCCCUCCUUUUCUCUGCUUGCCCUGGAAUAUUUGGCAGUGCUUGGAGACGAUUUUGUGUGUCACAACCAGAUCGGUUGGGGAUGGGACUGGAGAAUGCUACUGACAUCGAGUGCGAGAGGCCGGGAAUGCUGCUAAAUAUCCUACAAUGCACAAGGCAGCCCCAAGGACAAAGGAUUAUCCAGGCUGAACUGGU
RNAcentral lists this long non-coding RNA (2009 nucleotides) under Sus scrofa (pig). RNAcentral's name for it is "lncRNA (ENSSSCG00045032573.1)". Lineage: Eukaryota; Metazoa; Chordata; Mammalia; Artiodactyla; Suidae. The record is from RNAcentral.